This is a long non-coding RNA of Anastrepha ludens (Mexican fruit fly), 1400 nucleotides long. RefSeq lists it as uncharacterized. The transcript is spliced from 4 exons. NCBI's taxonomy places the organism in Eukaryota, Metazoa, Arthropoda, Insecta, Diptera, Tephritidae. The record is from RefSeq and is a predicted model, not a curated record.
UUUAGUUGAAAUUUGUUUGCACCGCAUUUGUGAGUGAAGCACUUGCAGUUAGAAGUUUGUAUGGCAGUGUGUUGUUGUAGUGCACUUUUGGCCUAACUGCUCGCGGUGCUGGUGCCAAGCUAACGACUUAAGCUUCCAGGUAGCUUCCUAAAAUUUAAUUUUUUAUCGGUUUAUGCGUCGAACCUUUUAAAAAGGAUCCUCGAGCAGAACGCAAAAAAGGCCAGAUCGACAGUUUUAAAAAAGGCAUCCAGCGGAGGUUGAAAAAUUUGAAUCGCAUGGAGGUGGCGCAAAAUUAAUCACCCUACCGGCAGAUGCGGUCAUACCUAAGCCAUUCCCUGGUAUGGGACAACCACCAUUAAAGAGCAGUUUGGAAGUGAAGCUAAGAGACGUGAGCUGCCACUUAGUUCAAGCAACUCAUAAUCGUCUUUAAGGAAAAACUAAGAAUGCGCACGACCAUUCUCACAGAUUGCUUAGUCAUCUGCACAGCGUUGAGAUAUGGUCCACUGAUUCUUAUGUUUCAGCGACCAGUCUCCUGAGACUCCAGUACACUUUCUUAUCGAAGGUGAGGCCAUAGCGCAAAGAAGGAUGACACAUCUCGGGCGCAUGCAGAGGAAGAAAGGAAAGGUUUAUUAGAAAAACUGGAUUUGGAUGAGGUACUGUGAUGAGUGAAGGGCACAAAAGACCAUGAGGUCAUUUUCAUUCCUUCGGUUAUUCACAGCGUCGUAUGUCAAUCAUGAUUGACACUUGUAACCUAGACAGCUGCAAUAUGGCACACAAACAAUCAAGCAAUGGAGUGCGUUAAGGUCAAAAUAAAGAUUCUCAUGAAUCAAAAACAUUUUGUUUGUUUGCUUGGCAAAAAAAAGUUUAAAAAUUUAUUCAAAAACAUUUUUUUUAGUUAAUUUUUUUUAUUUUUAUUUUAGUUUUUAAUUAAUUCUUUUUUAAUUUUCUUAUAUUUUUAAUUAAUUUAUUUCUAAUUUUUUUAUAAUAGGACUAUGAAUAAGUUCGUGCGGUUUUUUUUUCGAAAUUUGAAACUUUAUUGACGUAAAAUGGUUACAAAUUUAAUAUUCAAAAUAUUGUCCAUCGCUUACUACUACUUUUUCCCAUCUUUCUGGCAAUUCACGGAUUCCCUUUGUGAAAAAUUCGGUCGGUUUUGCCGCAAUCCACGAAUCGAUCCAUUUUUUGACUUCAUCGUAAUUACGGAAGUGCUGGUCAGCCAGGCCAUGUUGCAUCGAUCGGAAGAGAUAGUAAUCGGAUGGCGCAAGGUCUGGACUAUACGGCGGGUGGGGUAGGACAUCCCAUUUGAGCGUUUCUAAGUAUGUUUUGACCACUUGUGCAACAUGUGGCCGAGCAUUGUCAUGUUGCAAAAUAACUUUGUCGUGUCUAUCGGCGUAUUGCGGCCG